RNAcentral lists this ribosomal RNA (414 nucleotides) under uncultured bacterium. RNAcentral's name for it is "bacterial SSU rRNA". It matches the Rfam family "Bacterial small subunit ribosomal RNA", at positions 29 to 453 of the family's 1533-position model. The record is from RNAcentral.
AUUGAACGCUGGCGGCAUGCUUUACACAUGCAAGUCGAACGGUAACAGGCCUUCGGGUGCUGACGAGUGGCGAACGGGUGAGUAAUGCAUCGGAACGUGCCCAAUCGUGGGGGAUAACGUAGCGAAAGUUACGCUAAUACCGCAUAAGCCCUGAGGGGGAAAGUGGGGGACCGCAAGGCCUCACGCGAAUGGAGCGGCCGAUGUCAGAUUAGCUAGUUGGUGGGGUAAAGGCCCACCAAGGCGACGAUCUGUAGCGGGUCUGAGAGGAUGAUCCGCCACACUGGGACUGAGACACGGCCCAGACUCCUACGGGAGGCAGCAGUGGGGAAUUUUGGACAAUGGGCGGCAAGCCUGAUCCAGCCAUGCCGCGUGCGGACGAAGGCCUGGUGUACGACUUCGUCGGAGAAUACGNAC